RNAcentral lists this long non-coding RNA (600 nucleotides) under Homo sapiens (human). RNAcentral describes it as "HSALNT0282310". Lineage: Eukaryota; Metazoa; Chordata; Mammalia; Primates; Hominidae. The record is from RNAcentral.
GAUGUUCUCAAGUAUUUCCAUAAAAAUCACGAAGUAUGCCUGCAGGCACUGGCAUUCGGCAGAGCUGUUUAAGACACCCCUGCAGCAAGGAAAUUGAACUAAGAGCAGCACAGGCAUUCCUGGUGCUGGGAACCAUGACCACAAAAGGCUGCCCAGGGUCUGAGUGCUUUGAGCCAGGUGGGAGGGGAUCUGCCCUAAGGACAUAAGGCACGCUGGCCAUGCCCUAGCAGCCUGGUCACCGUAACUUUCCUCUUCACAGAGCAAGGAGUUAGGACAUGGAGAAGGUGAGAAUUGAACCCAGCUCAAAUUAACAGUCACAUGGACCCAAGUACCUGCUCACUAUGGCCUCACUGGUGCCUCCAUCUCUUCCUAGGCAGAGAGGGCAGGAAGAGGUGGCAAUUACAUUUUCUUUGUCCAGAAAACUGGCAGGUGUGGUGGGGUUGAGCCCUCUGAGUUAUCAUCUGAACCAGACAGCUCCAGGAAGUCCCUUCCUUCCCUGGAACCAGCAGGGCAGGCGAUGUGGGAGUUAUUAAUUCUUUAUUAGGAUUCAGGUUUCAAACAAGGUAGAAGCCAAAUGGGAACCCUGGGCUGGAAGGGGUG